Molecule: long non-coding RNA, 681 nt
Filed under: Rattus norvegicus (Norway rat)
Lineage: Eukaryota; Metazoa; Chordata; Mammalia; Rodentia; Muridae
Description: long non-coding RNA NONRATT016804
Source: RNAcentral
CCACCACCACCACCACCACCACUAUUACUACUACUACUAUUACUACUACUACUAUUACUACUAUUUGCUAAACUGUUAACUGGAUAUUUUAUGUCAUUAUCUUCUCUAGAUGGGGAAGUGGGGGAGGGGGGGAGAGAGGUAUACAUACAAGUUUGUGCAGCACACACGUGUGUAUCCAUACAUCUGAGUUGCUAUGCAUCUGAAGGUCAGAGGUCAAGGUCUGGUAUCUUCCUCAAUUGCGUUCCAUCUUGUCUUUUCAGACAGGAUCUGUCUCUGAGCCUGGAGCUCAGCGUUAGAGCUGUAGUCUUCCUUUAACCCCUACAACACUAUAGUUAUCAAAAGGCACCCCUGUGUACCUGGGUGUGCACUGGGAACUAGAACUACUGGCCUAUGAUUGUGUGACAGGCACUUUGCCUGGGCCUCUCCUAGCUGAUUUUUUAUACUGUGACAGGAACAAUUAUAAAGAAUUUAGCUGAGCUAACAGUUAAGAAUGCUUGGUCUUGCUAGGCCGUGGUGGUCCUUGCCUUUAAUACCAGAACUUGAGAGGCAGCGGCUGGCAGGUCUCUGAGUUUGAGGCCAGCCUGCUUUACAGAGUGAGUUCCUGGACAAUCAGGGCUACACAGGCACAGAGAAACCCUGUUUAGGAAAAAAAACAGAAACAACCCCCCCCCCAAAAAAAAA